GACGAACGCUGGCGGCGUGCUUAACACAUGCAAGUCGAACGGAAAGGCCCUGCUUUUGUGGGUUUCUCGUGUGGCGAACGGGUGUGUAACACGUGAGUAUCCUGCCCUUGUCUUUGUGAUAUCUUCACGAAACUGCGGCUAAUACCGCAUAUGAGCUCCUGCUCCAUGGUGGUGGUUGGAAAGUUUCGGCGGUUGUGGCUCGACUCGCGGCUUAUCCGCUUGUUGGUGUGGUAGUUGCUUACCAAGGCUUUGACGGGUAGGCGGCAUGAGAGGGGGACCGGCGACAAGGGGACUGAGAGACGGACCAGAAUCCUACGGGAGGCAGCAGGGGGGAAUAUUGCACAAUGGGGGGAAGCGUGAGGCAGAAACGCCGCGAGCGGGAUGACGGGCUUCGGGUUGUAAACAGAUGUCGACUGUGACGAAGCGGGAGUGACGGUAAUGAGUAAAGAAGCACCGGCUAACUACGUG
This 468-nucleotide ribosomal RNA is filed under the name uncultured bacterium. RNAcentral's name for it is "partial 16S ribosomal RNA". It matches the Rfam family "Bacterial small subunit ribosomal RNA", at positions 28 to 507 of the family's 1533-position model. The record is from RNAcentral.